CAGUCGCCGCGGUAAUGCGUAGGGUGCGAGCGUUAAUCGGAAUUACUGGGCGUAAAGCGUGCGCAGGCGGUUAUAUAAGACAGAUGUGAAAUCCCCGGGCUCAACCUGGGACCUGCAUUUGUGACUGUAUAGCUAGAGUACGGUAGAGGGGGAUGGAAUUCCGCGUGUAGCAGUGAAAUGCGUAGAUAUGCGGAGGAACACCGAUGGCGAAGGCAAUCCCCUGGACCUGUACUGACGCUCAUGCACGAAAGCGUGGGGAGCAAACAGGAUUAGAUACCCCUGUAGUCCCUGUCUCUUAUAC
RNAcentral lists this ribosomal RNA (301 nucleotides) under uncultured bacterium. RNAcentral's name for it is "partial 16S ribosomal RNA". It matches the Rfam family "Bacterial small subunit ribosomal RNA", at positions 509 to 807 of the family's 1533-position model. The record is from RNAcentral.